AGAAGUGAUAGCAACAUUUAUUGAUGAAGCGCAAAAAAUCUGUCGUGUAAUUGUUUCGGAAGAUCAAU
This 68-nucleotide small RNA is filed under the name Finegoldia magna ACS-171-V-Col3. Lineage: Bacteria; Bacillati; Bacillota; Tissierellia; Tissierellales; Peptoniphilaceae. The record is from RNAcentral.